Molecule: unclassified non-coding RNA, 296 nt
Filed under: Borreliella afzelii
Lineage: Bacteria; Pseudomonadati; Spirochaetota; Spirochaetia; Spirochaetales; Borreliaceae
Description: partial 16S-23S ribosomal RNA intergenic spacer
Source: RNAcentral
AAGUGUUUAGUAUUAUACAGUUUCAUAUUAAAUUAAACGUUGUUAAUAGUAAACAUAAUUUUAGAUUUUGAGUUGAAAGUUUUUUAUAUUGCUAAAUAUGUAUUUUAAAUCUAAUAGAACGGCAAUUGCAAUUUUUAAAAUUGAAAUUGCAUUGUAAAUAUACCCUAACAUCGAAAUUGACAAAUGUUUUAUUUUUAUUGUUCAUCAUAGUUAAAGUAGACUAUAGUACAUAGUACUUGGAAAAAUGGAAUACAUUGGGACCAGGAUGAGUUGAACAUCCGACCUCAGGUUUAUCA